UGGGAUGAUGUCAAGUCAGCACGGCCCUUAUGGGGUGGGCUACACACGUGCUACAAUGGUAGCUACAAUGGGUUGCAAUGUCGCAAGGCGGAGCUAAUCCUCAAAAGCUAUCUCAGUUCGGAUUGUCCUCUGCAACUCGAGGGCAUGAAGUCGGAAUCGCUAGUAAUCGUGGAUCAGCAUGCCACGGUGAAUACGUUCUCGGGUCUUGUACACACUGCCCGUCACGCCAUGGGAAUUGGCUUAACUCGAAGCUGGU
Molecule: ribosomal RNA, 256 nt
Filed under: uncultured Anaplasma sp.
Lineage: Bacteria; Pseudomonadati; Pseudomonadota; Alphaproteobacteria; Rickettsiales; Anaplasmataceae
Description: partial 16S ribosomal RNA
Rfam family: Bacterial small subunit ribosomal RNA
Source: RNAcentral